This 253-nucleotide ribosomal RNA is filed under the name uncultured bacterium. RNAcentral describes it as "partial 16S ribosomal RNA". It matches the Rfam family "Bacterial small subunit ribosomal RNA", at positions 524 to 776 of the family's 1533-position model. The record is from RNAcentral.
UACGGUGGGAGCAAGCGUUGUUCGGAUUUACUGGGCGUAAAGGGCGCGUAGGCGGUUGCGCGCGUGGGGUGUGAAAUCUGGCCGCUUAACGGCCAGGCGCCAUCCCAUACGGCGCGACUGGAGUGAUGCAGAGGUCGAUGGAAUUGCCGGUGUAGUGGUGAAAUGCGUAGAGAUCGGCAGGAACACCCAGGGGGAAACCAGUCGACUGGGCAUCUACUGACGCUGAGGUGCGAGAGCGUGGGGAGCGAACCGG